Molecule: ribosomal RNA, 776 nt
Filed under: uncultured Neocallimastigales
Lineage: Eukaryota; Fungi; Neocallimastigomycota; Neocallimastigomycetes; Neocallimastigales
Description: partial large subunit ribosomal RNA
Rfam family: Eukaryotic large subunit ribosomal RNA
Source: RNAcentral
UAUGUGAUCGUCUCUCGCAUAUCAAUAAGCGGAGGAAAAGAAACUAACAAGGAUUCCCCUAGUAACGGCGAGUGAAGCGGGAAGAGCUCAAAUUUGAAAUCUUAAAGGGUUUCCCUUUACGAAUUGUAGUUUAAAGAAGUGUUUUCUGUUGAGGUUUUGGUAAAAGUUCUUUGGAAAUAGGACAUCAUAGAGGGUGAGAACCCCGUAUUUGACCUUUACUUUCAACUUUGUGAUACACUUUCAAAGAGUCGGAUUGUUUGGGAAUGCAGUCCAAAAUGGGUGGUAAAUUUCAUCUAAAGCUAAAUAUUGGCGAGAGACCGAUAGCGAACAAGUACCGUGAGGGAAAGAUGAAAAGAACUUUGAAAAGAGAGUUAAACAGUACGUGAAAUUGUCAAAAGGGAAGCGUUUGACACCAGUGUUGUUUUUCUGAAAAUCAAUUAAAGAACUGUUUAUGCUAAGUUGUUUAGACUUUAUCAGCUAUCUGCUUAGUUUUGAGCUUUUCUUUAAUGCACUUUUCAGUUAACAAGUCAACAUCAAUUUCUUUUGCUGUAAAAAAGCUUGAGGAAGGUGGCUUGAGAUUCGUCUUAAGUGUUUUAUAGCCUCUUGCCUAUGCAGUCGGAGAGAUUGAGGUCUGCAGCGUAGAUCCUUCGGGGCUAAAUGCAUUUGUGCUAAGUUAUAGCAUUUUAUAGACAACUUGUUGACUAUGAUUUGUCUUGUAGCUUACUCGCUUAUGUUAUUUUACCUACGCUUAGGAUGUUGAUCUGUAGUGCGUGCGC